RNAcentral lists this small RNA (680 nucleotides) under Pongo abelii (Sumatran orangutan). Its description in RNAcentral is "processed transcript". The record is from RNAcentral. Lineage: Eukaryota; Metazoa; Chordata; Mammalia; Primates; Hominidae.
GGAGGCUGAGGCGCGCGGGGCAGCCUGGGCCCCAGCCCACACCUUCACCAGGGCCCAGGAGCCACCAUGUGGCGAUGUCCACUGGGGCUACUGCUGUUGCUGCCGCUGGCUGGCCACGUGGCUCUGGGUGCCCAGCAGGGUCGUGGGCGCCGGGAGCUAGCACCGGGUCUGCACCUGCGGGGCAUCCGGGACGCGGGAGGCCGGUACUGCCAGGAGCAGGACCUGUGCUGCCGCGGCCGUGCCGACGACUGUGCCCUGCCCUACCUGGGCGCCAUCUGUUACUGUGACCUCUUCUGCAACCGCACGAUCUCCGACUGCUGCCCUGACUUCUGGGACUUCUGCCUCGGCGUGCCACCCCCUUUUCCCCCGAUCCAAGGUGGGCACUAAGAUGGCCAGGAGGGUGGGUCACUUUGUCCACCUCAGACUCAGCAAGGCUCAGGAGCAAAGCUGAUGGAUGCACUGACAUUUCCAGGGGAAGCUCUGUAGAAUCUGGGACUCUUCCCUGCCCCUCUGGGAACUUUACUCUCCAGCAAGACUGAAGAAGCUCCUUAGUUAGAAUUCUGAUUUAGCCCAGGGAAAGGGCAGCCUCCCACAUUUUCUCCCAAUACUGUCUCUUUUCCAGACACGGAAGGUGCUGGCUGCACCUGCUGACUCACUCUUGGGCUGAUAAGGCACAUAUG